AACCAAAGAACAAAGAAGGGUUCAGAUGUUUGAGUUCUUAAUGAAGGGCAUACCAACACUUCUUUAACUACCGGUUUUCCUGCCAUAAGCCAAGGACUGAGUUCUCUCAAAGUAAAUCAAUAACGAGAGGUGGCAUCUUUGCUUUCCGAUAUGUAUGCUUACUCCUUUUCCUAGUUGCUAGGACGUAAACCUUAGAGGAUCACUCUGUUGUUACCACCAAAAGUAAAAAAUAGACCCUUUUCGAUAUGUAUGCUUACUCCUUAUCCUAGUUGCUAGGACGUAAACCUUAGAGGAUCACUC
This 300-nucleotide long non-coding RNA is filed under the name Nicotiana benthamiana. Its description in RNAcentral is "long non-coding RNA (NBEN_LNC024732)". Lineage: Eukaryota; Viridiplantae; Streptophyta; Magnoliopsida; Solanales; Solanaceae. The record is from RNAcentral.